GGCAGCAGUCGAGAAUCUUUCGCAAUGGGCGAAAGCCUGAUGGUGCGACGCCGCGUGGAGGAUGAAGGCCUUCGGGUCGUAAACUCCUGUCAUCAGGGAGUAAGGUCGUAUGUAGUAACUGACAUACGGAUUGAUAGUACCUGAAGAGGAAGAGACGGCUAACUCUGUGCCAGCAGCCGCGGUAAUACAGAGGUCUCAAGCGUUGUUCGGGAUCACUGGGCGUAAAGCGUGCGUAGGCGGUAAGGUAAGUCAGAUGUGAAAGCCCGGGGCUCAACUCCGGAACUGCAUCCGAUACUGCCUUACUUGAGGACUGGAGGGGAGUCUGGAAUUCAUGGUGUAGCAGUGAAAUGCGUAGAUAUCAUGAGGAACACUAGUGGCGAAGGCGAGACUCUGGACAGUUCCUGACGCUGAGGCACGAAGGCUAGGGUAGCGAAGCGGAUUAGAUACCCGCGUAGUCCUAGCAGUAAACGGUGCACGUUUGGUGUGGGAGGAUUCGACCCCUUCCGUGCCGGAGCUAACGCGUUAAACGUGCCGCCUGGGGAGUACGAUCGCAAGAUUAAAACUCAAAGGAAUUGACGG
RNAcentral lists this ribosomal RNA (579 nucleotides) under uncultured bacterium. RNAcentral describes it as "bacterial SSU rRNA". It matches the Rfam family "Bacterial small subunit ribosomal RNA", at positions 347 to 916 of the family's 1533-position model. The record is from RNAcentral.